Molecule: non-coding RNA, 75 nt
Organism: Podarcis lilfordi (Lilford's wall lizard)
Lineage: Eukaryota; Metazoa; Chordata; Lepidosauria; Squamata; Lacertidae
Source: the annotation of a GenBank genome assembly
GGAAGUGUCAUAGCUCAGUGGGAGAGCAGCUGCUCUGCAUGCAGAAGGUUCCUGGUUCAAUUCCACGCAUCUCCC